ACGCCGACGUGAGUGAUGAAGGUUUUCGGAUCGUAAAGCUCUGUUGUUAGGGAAGAACAAGUACCGUUCGAAUAGGGCGGUACCUUGACGGUACCUAACCAGAAAGCCACGGCUAACUACGUGCCAGCAGCCGCGGUAAUACGUAGGUGGCAAGCGUUGUCCGGAAUUAUUGGGCGUAAAGGGCUCGCAGGCGGUUUCUUAAGUCUGAUGUGAAAGCCCCCGGCUCAACCGGGGAGGGUCAUUGGAAACUGGGGAACUUGAGUGCAGAAGAGGAGAGUGGAAUUCCACGUGUAGCGGUGAAAUGCGUAAGAUGUGGAGGAACACCAGUGGCGAAGGCGACUCUCUGGUCUGUAACUGACGCUGAGGAGCGAAAGCGUGGGGAGCGAACAGGAUUAGAUACCCUGGUAGUCCACGCCGUAAACGAUGAGUGCUAAGUGUUAGGGGGUUUCCGCCCUUAGUGCUGCAGCUAACGCAUUAAGCACUCCGCCUGGGGA
RNAcentral lists this ribosomal RNA (494 nucleotides) under Bacillus sp. UST050418-696. Its description in RNAcentral is "bacterial SSU rRNA". It matches the Rfam family "Bacterial small subunit ribosomal RNA", at positions 394 to 879 of the family's 1533-position model. Lineage: Bacteria; Bacillati; Bacillota; Bacilli; Caryophanales; Bacillaceae. The record is from RNAcentral.